Molecule: ribosomal RNA, 796 nt
Filed under: uncultured archaeon
Lineage: Archaea
Description: bacterial SSU rRNA
Rfam family: Archaeal small subunit ribosomal RNA
Source: RNAcentral
UUCGGCUCAGUAACACGUGGACAACCUACCCUGAGGUCGGGGAUAAACCCGGGAAACUGGGUAUAAUACCCGAUAGAUCUAGAUCGCUGGAAUGCUUUUAGGUCUAAAGUUCCGACGCCUCAGGAUGGGUCUGCGGCCUAUCAGGGUAGUAGUGGGUGUAAAGUACCUACUAGCCUACGACGGGUACGGGUUGUGAGAGCAAGAGCCCGGAGAUGGAUUCUGAGACACGAAUCCAGGCCCUACGGGGCGCAGCAGGCGCGAAACCUUUACAAUGCUGGCAACAGCGAUAAGGGGACCUCGAGUGCUACGAUACAAUCGUGGCUGUCUAGUUGCCUAAAAAGCAAUUGAUAGCAAGGGCCGGGCAAGACCGGUGCCAGCCGCCGCGGUAACACCGGCGGCUCGAGUGGUAACCGCUAUUAUUGGGUCUAAAGGGUCUGUAGCCGGCUUAGUUAGUCUCUUGAGAAAUCUGGCCGCUCAACGGUCAGGCGUUCAGGGGAUACUGCUAAAGCUCGAGACCGGGAGAGGUGAGAGGUACUUCAGGGGUAGGGGUGAAAUCUUGUAAUCCUUGAAGGACCACCAGUGGCGAAGGCGUCUCACCAGAACGGAUCUGACGGCAAGGGACGAAAGCUAGGGGCACGAACCGGAUUAGAUACCCGGGUAGUCCUAGCCGUAAACGAUACUCGCUAGGUGUCGGCCACGGUGCGACCGUGGUCGGUGCCGUAGGGAAGCCGUGAAGCGAGCCACCUGGGAAGUACGGCCGCAAGGCUGAAACUUAAAGGAAUUGGCGGGGGAGCAC